AUCAGUCAUUUUGUAUAAUGCCAAAUUCAACAUAUUGAUGUCAGACCUCAUCAGAGUAAUGCGAAAUGUGUCCCGCAUGUGCGACCCUAGAGAGUUAAAGAGACACAUACAACAUUUUGUUCACCGCAUGUAGUUCUCAGGAUACAGCCAUAAAGAAAGGAUCAGAGUAUACAAAAGGAGGAAAUUUGAA
Long non-coding RNA from Octopus sinensis (East Asian common octopus), 190 nucleotides. RefSeq lists it as uncharacterized. The record is from RefSeq and is a predicted model, not a curated record. The transcript has 3 exons. Lineage: Eukaryota; Metazoa; Mollusca; Cephalopoda; Octopoda; Octopodidae.